AGGGAGAGUACAGUGUUGAGAGAAGAGUUUUGUUAGGUAGUGGGGAGAGUGAUGGAAGCAGAAGAAGAAGAAGAUGAAGAAGAACAUCAACAAGAGGAACAUCUUGUGGUGGCCACGAACCUCUUCCUUCUAACCCUCCCUCCUGUCUCCGACAUCGACAAGGUUCGCCUCAAACGCCACGAUAUGCUUCCUUUCUACGAAACCCUAAUUGCGGGUUCCGUCUUCGACCCUGAUCGCGCUCUUCUCGAUUCCUUGCGUAAUGAAAAAGUAGGCAGAUCAUCCUUCCAAAUUCCGAAACAUAAAAAAUUUAGAUGCAGUAAGGAACAUGAAAAGGCCUGAUGGAUCAUAUUCAACACGGAUUACUGAUGCCGAGGAAAGUUUAGGUGAGAGUGAAGUUCGAGAGGCUCAUUUGGCAAAGUCCCUGUUUUUUUAUCUGGAUUGGUGACAAGAGAAAGCCUUGGAACAUCUCAAGGUGACAGAAGCAAGACAGUUGCAGUUGGCCAGAAAAUGGACAUGGUGUUUUAUACAUUGCAGCUUGGUUUUUUUUACAUGGAUUUUGAUCUCAUUGCAAAAAGCAUUGAGAAGGCUAAAAGAAGGUGGUGAUUGGGAGAGAAAGAAUCGGCUGAAAGUAUUCAAGGGCCUGUAUUGUAUGUCAACUUGAAAUUUCAAGAAGGCUGCCAAUCUGUUCUUGGAUUCUAUUUCAACCUUUACACCUAUGAACUUUUCCCCUAUGACACCUUUAUAUUUUACACUGUUCUGAUAAGCAUUAUAUCAUUGGAUAGAGUUUCUAAGCAAAAGUGAUUGACAAAAUCCCAUAUCUUUCAGACUUUCUGAAUUCCUUAUAUGAUUGUCAAUACCAGUCUUUCUUCAAGCAUUUGCUGGUUUAACGGAGAAAAUCAUGUUGGACCGUUACUUGCAUCCUCAUUUCCGAUAUUACAUGAGGGAGGUGAGGACUGUUGUCUAUUCCCAGUUUUUGGAAUUUACAAGAGUGUGACAAUUGAUGCUAUGGCAAAAGCCUUUGGAUUGACGGUGGAUUUCAUUGAUUUGGAAGGUAUCACGUUUUAUUGCAUCUGGGGGACUACAUUGCAAGAUUGAUAAAGUUGCAAGGAGUCUUCCUAUUGAACCGUAUCCAGAAAUUAUCACGCGUGAUUGAUCUUUGAAAAGUUAUUUAUUGAGAUUCUAAAUUACAACAGUUUUCAUUGAACAGAGGUAAGGGGCGAGGCAGAAAGACUGGUAAUUUUUUUAUCUAUCAAAAAGAUUACACGGAUACGAUGAGCAUCGAAACUAGGUUUGCGAUAAUAAGGAGUUUACAAAAAAAAUUUCUUCUCACCCUUCAGCAACAUUUUUUUUUUAAUGUGUGGGAAUUGGAUAUGAUAUUAAGGAGUUUACAAUAUUAUUGUUCAA
This is a non-coding RNA of Cajanus cajan (pigeon pea), 1404 nucleotides long. NCBI's taxonomy places the organism in Eukaryota, Viridiplantae, Streptophyta, Magnoliopsida, Fabales, Fabaceae. The record is from RefSeq and is a predicted model, not a curated record.